GACGUAGGGCGCGAGCGUUGUCCGGAUUUAUUGGGCGUGAAGAGCUCGUAGGCGGCUCGUUGCGUCGGCUGUGAAAACCCGCAGCUCAACUGUGGGCUUGCAGCUGAUACGGGCGGGCUGGAGUUCGGUAGGGGAGACUGGAAUUCCUGGUGUAGCGGUGAAAUGCGCAGAUAUCAGGAGGAACACCGGUGGCGAAGGCGGGUCUCUGGGCCGAUACUGACGCUGAGGAGCGAAAGCGUGGGGAGCGAACAGG
This 253-nucleotide ribosomal RNA is filed under the name uncultured bacterium. Its description in RNAcentral is "partial 16S ribosomal RNA". It matches the Rfam family "Bacterial small subunit ribosomal RNA", at positions 524 to 776 of the family's 1533-position model. The record is from RNAcentral.